This is a long non-coding RNA of Taeniopygia guttata (zebra finch), 1242 nucleotides long. RefSeq lists it as uncharacterized. NCBI's taxonomy places the organism in Eukaryota, Metazoa, Chordata, Aves, Passeriformes, Estrildidae. The record is from RefSeq and is a predicted model, not a curated record.
AUUCCUGGAAGUGGCAUUCAGAGCUCUGGGCUGGGAACAAGAGUAUUUUCCUUCUCAACUUGGAAAUGAGGAUAUAUUUGAGCUGGUUGGCUUUGCAGUGACUAAGCCCUGUGUGUGGGAACAGCACUCCUGGUGCCAGGGAGAACAAGGAUCGCAUCAAAAGGAAACUGCAGCCUGGGGAAAUCCAUGCAGGAUCCCUGGAGGGGUCCAAGGCCAGGUUGGACUUUUGGAGCAAUCUGGGAUAAUGGGAGGUGUCCCUGCCUUGGGAAUGAGAUGGCCUUUAAGGUCCUUUCCAAGCCAAACCAUUCCAGGACUCUACAAUUUCCAUCAAAUAGGACAAAGUUUGCUUUUCUACUCCUCCAUGAAGUUUCCCUGGUCCAACUCUGCUUUCACUCAACAGCACCAGAAUAUUUACAGAGCAAACCGUGACCCUCUUUGGGUGAGGAAAUGGAACCACCCAGGGUUUUCCUCUUUGGAUGAGGAAAGGAAACCACCCAGGGUUCUCAAUUCCCCUAAAAAGACUUUUUAGUCUUGUGUGUCCUUAGCAGCUUGAUUUUCCUUCUAUUUUUCCUCCUAUUUUUCUUGCUGAUGAGCAUCACUUGAAAUCAGAUUUUAGUGAAAACACACAUGGAUGGGACUGUGGAAGAACCCAGCCACUACUGGCCAUGUAAAGCCAGCUUUGCUGGUGUCACAACCAUGAAAAAACCAGGAUUUACUUCAGAUUCCAAAGCACUGUUUGGUCUGUUAUUCCCACAGUCCCUGCCAGGAUGACACACUCAGCUCCAUCUCAGGGAGGAGAAAGUAAACACCACGACUUUUCCCUCAGGGGGUGGUGGUGGUGGUGGGGAUCUAUUUCCAGCAGCACUUCAGAAAAGCUGGCACCAAUCUGGGUUCUCAAGUGGGAUCUCACAGAGACCAGGAAUUCACAGCACGGAGCUGGCAGAGAGAGAAAUGCUGCAGAAAACGGGAAGGUAUUUUAAUAAAUGCCUUUAUUAAAAAAAAAAUCUAGGCUUUUUAUCAAUUUAAAUGUUUCUAAAUCUGUCAAAAAUUCAGUUUGUGAUAGUCAUAGACUCAGAAAAAAUAUCAAAUGGGUGGCUUAUCCAAAUUGAGGCCACUUUUGUUUUUCUGGCUAUGGAGAAAGAAUUUUACUUAAAUGUUUAUAUUUCAGUGAUGUGUUUCAUCUAACAUGAAAUAGAAAUUCCAUCUACUCAUGCCCACAAUAAAUGAAAAUCAUGGAAGGGU